AUUAUACUCCCUCUGUCCCAAAAUUGUUGUUUUAAAUUUGUUUAGAUACGGAUGUAUCUAACGUAACUAGAUACAUCCAUAUUUAGACAAAUCUAAGACAAUAAUUUUGGGAGAGGGGGAGUAUAAA
Molecule: non-coding RNA, 127 nt
Organism: Triticum aestivum (bread wheat)
Lineage: Eukaryota; Viridiplantae; Streptophyta; Magnoliopsida; Poales; Poaceae
Source: Rfam